AUUGAACGCUGGCGGCAGGCCUAACACAUGCAAGUCGAACGAGUGGCGGACGGGUGAGUAAUGUCUGGGAAACUGCCUGAUGGAGGGGGAUAACUACUGGAAACGGUAGAUAAUACCGCAUACCAUCGGAUGUGCCCAGAUGGGAUGAGCUAGUAGGUGGGGUAAAGGCUCCCCUAGGCGACGAGCCCUAGCUGGUCUGAGAGGAUGACCAGCCAACCUGGAACUGAGACACGGUCCAGACUCCUCCGGGAGGCAGCAGUGGGGAAUAUUGCAAAAUGGGCGCAAGCCGGAUGCAGACAUGCCGCGGGUAUGAAGAAGGCCUUCGGGUUGUAAAGUACUUUCAGCGGGGAGGCGUUACCCGCAGAAGAAGCACCGGCUAACUCCGUGCCAGCCGCCGCGGUAAUAC
RNAcentral lists this ribosomal RNA (406 nucleotides) under uncultured bacterium. Its description in RNAcentral is "partial 16S ribosomal RNA". It matches the Rfam family "Bacterial small subunit ribosomal RNA", at positions 29 to 526 of the family's 1533-position model. The record is from RNAcentral.